GGCAACAUGGCCGAGUGGUCUAAGGCGCUGGAAUUAGGUUAUUUUCCUCAUCCAGUCCGAAAGGGCGCGAGUUCGAACCUCGCUGUUGUCA
Favolaschia claudopus is the source of this 91-nucleotide non-coding RNA. NCBI's taxonomy places the organism in Eukaryota, Fungi, Basidiomycota, Agaricomycetes, Agaricales, Mycenaceae. The record is from the annotation of a GenBank genome assembly.